AGAGUUUGAUCCUGGCUCAGGAUGAACGCUGGUGGCGUGCCUUAGGCAUGCAAGUCGAACGGUCCGACGCAAGUCGGACAGUGGCAGACGGGUGAGUAACGCGUAGGAAUCUACCCCGAAGUGUGGAAUAGCCCCGCGAAAGCGGGGAUAAUACCGCAUAUUCUCGUGCAUAGCACGAGGAAAGGGCUUAACUGCCCGCUUUGGGAUGAGCCUGCGUCCUAUCAGCUUGUUGGUGAGGUAAAAGCUUACCAAGGCUAUGACGGGUAGGGGGUGUGAGAGCACGGCCCCCCACAAGGACACUGAGAUAUGGGUCCUACGUCUACGGACGGCAGCAACCAGGAAUAUUGCGCAAUGGGCGAAAGCCUGACGCAGCGACGCCGCGUGGAGGACGAAGGCCUUCGGGUCGUAAACUCCUUUUGACAGGGAUAAAUAAAUGAUAGUACCUGUAGAAUAAGCACCUGCAAACUACGUGCCAGCAGCCGCGGUAAUACGUAGGGUGCAAGCGUUAUCCGGAUUUACUGGGCGUAAAGAGUAUCGUAGGCGGUUUUUCAAGUCAGUUGUUAAAGACCUUGGCUCAACCAAGGGAAGGCAAUUGAUACUGGGGAACUUGAGUUAGGUCGGGGGUGUUGGAAUUCCCGGUGGAGGGGUGAAAUCCGUUGAUAUCGGGAAGAACACCGAAGGCGAAGGCAGACACCUAGACCUUAACUGACGCUGAUGAACGAAAGCUAGGGGAGCGAAAGGGAUUAGAGACCCCUGUAGUCCUAGUUGUAAACGAUGCCUACUAGUUGUUCCGAUGUUACAUCGGAAUGACGUAAGCUAACGCGUUAAGUAGGCCGCCUGGGAACUACGGCCGCAAGGUUAAAACUCAAAGGAAUUGACGGGGGAGCGCACAACCAGUGGAGCAUGUGGUUCAAUUCGAUACGAAGCGUUAAACCUUACCUGGGCUUGACAUUUUAGUGACAUCUUCGGGAAACCGAGGCUGCCGCAAGGACACUAGAACAGCUGCUGCAUGGCUGUCGUCAGCUCGUGUCGUGAGACGUACGCUUAAGUGCGGUAACGAGCGCAACCCUCACCCUAAGUUAAAUUUUCUUAGGGAACUGCCUCUGCUUAUGCGGGGGAGGAAGGAGAGGACGACGUCAAGUCAGCACGGCGCUUAUGUCCAGGGCUACACACAUCCUACAAUGGGAAGGACAAUGGGUUGCCAAGCCGUAAGGCGGAGCUAAUCCCACCAAACCUUCUCUCAGUUGGGAUUGAGGGCUGAAACCCGCCCUCAUGAACUCGGAAUUGGUAGUAAUCGCGGGUCAGCAGACCGCGGUGAAUACGUUCUCGCUCCUUGUCCACACUGCCCGUCAACUGAGGAAAGUCGGGAGCGCCCGAAGCCCCGAUUUAUCGGGAUUAGGGCGAGCUCGGUAAUCAGCGGUAAGUCGUAACAAGGUAACC
This 1440-nucleotide ribosomal RNA is filed under the name uncultured bacterium. RNAcentral describes it as "bacterial SSU rRNA". It matches the Rfam family "Bacterial small subunit ribosomal RNA". The record is from RNAcentral.